GAUGAACGCUGACAGAAUGCUUAACACAUGCAAGUCAACUUGAACUUCGGUUUGGGUGGCGGACGGGUGAGUAACGCGUAAAGAACUUGCCUCACAGAUAGGGACAACAUUUGGAAACGAAUGCUAAUACCUGAUAUUAUGAUUAUAUGGCAUCGUAUAAUUAUGAAAGCUAUAUGCGCUGUGAGAGAGCUUUGCGUCCCAUUAGCUAGUUGGAGAGGUAACGGCUCACCAAGGCGAUGAUGGGUAGCCGGCCUGAGAGGGUGAUCGGCCACAAGGGGACUGAGACACGGCCCUUACUCCUACGGGAGGCGGCAGUGGGGAAUAUUGGACAAUGGACCAAGAGUCUGAUCCAGCAAUUCUGUGUGCACGAUGAAGUUUUUCGGAAUGUAAAGUGCUUUCAGUUGGGAAGAAAAAAAUGACGGUACCAACAGAAGAAGUGACGGCUAAAUACGUG
RNAcentral lists this ribosomal RNA (454 nucleotides) under uncultured bacterium. RNAcentral's name for it is "partial 16S ribosomal RNA". It matches the Rfam family "Bacterial small subunit ribosomal RNA", at positions 28 to 507 of the family's 1533-position model. The record is from RNAcentral.